Molecule: long non-coding RNA, 459 nt
Filed under: Parus major (Great Tit)
Lineage: Eukaryota; Metazoa; Chordata; Aves; Passeriformes; Paridae
Description: lncRNA (ENSPMJG00000007518.1)
Source: RNAcentral
UGAAGACAACCAAAACAAGAGAUCACUUCUACCCUGAAUGAUUCAUUCUGUUUUACAGUGAGCAGAAGCAGCAGAGCUGGGAACAGUGAGCAGAUGUCCUGAGCUGGCCUGAGAAAGCCCAGGCAGCCACACCAAUACAACCACCAGCACACAGACAAUCUCGCAGCCUGUCAGUCAGCAUCACGUGAGCAGUCCCCCAUCCAUUGCUCCUGGGACCCAGGGGGUGAUUUGGAAAGGAUCUGCUGGGCUGUCACUCACCUCCAUCUGCCUUCAGGAGAAGGAUUCUGGGUUCCAUGCUGUUUCCUCUUGUGCCUGCAUGGCUUUGAUCACAAUUUGCUUCUCAGGCCUUCAGAAUCACAGCUGCCCUGUAAGGUUUGCCCAUAAUCCUGUUGACAUGUUGUUCCCUGGCAAGCUCUGGACUCUACUUGCUCCCAGUUUGGGAUUAACUGCUAUUUCUGA